CAAGUUACGUAGCUCAGGCUGUGGUGACAUAUCUUAACUGUUGCUUCUCGCGGGGGGACGACAACCCCCCUCGGGGGGCGGUCCCCCUCCUGGCCGCGCUCUCACGGGCGUGGGGCCCGCCGGAGGAUACCAAAACUCUAUUUUAACGACGUUUCUUCAGAUUGGCACGAGCAAAUAAUUAAAACUUUUAACAUGGGAUCUCUUGGUUCUGGCAAUUUGAAGAACGCACCGAAAUGCAAUAAUUAAUGUGAAUUGGAGAAAUCGAAGCAUCGACGAUUCUUUGAACCCACAUUGCGCCCGGCAGGCUUGCGGGGGGGAUGGUUGUUCGAACGUCAUUUCAACCCAGGAGCCCAUCUUGGUGCUGGGGCCCUAUGGUCGACAUAGGCCCUUCAAAGUAGUGGCGGACCUGCCCGGAGUCGCCUUUGCCUCCUAACUUAACGUCUUUUGCUGGGAUCUGGAGGGACUCUUGCCGUAAAACCCCCAGAACUUUCCAGGAUGACGGGAGAAACGGAAAGAAUACCCGCUCAACUUAAGCAUAUCAAAGGGACAAAAAAAAUCUAUCUGAUCACAAAACUGGAAGGACUACCCGCUGAACUUUAGCAUA
This 604-nucleotide ribosomal RNA is filed under the name Colletotrichum sp. UM111. Its description in RNAcentral is "eukaryotic LSU rRNA". The stretch from base 183 to 335 matches the Rfam family "5.8S ribosomal RNA". The record is from RNAcentral. Lineage: Eukaryota; Fungi; Ascomycota; Sordariomycetes; Glomerellales; Glomerellaceae.